AGCGGCGGACGGGUGAGGAACACGUAGGAAUCUGCCCUUUAGCGGGGGACAACCAAGGGAAACUUUGGCUAAUACCGCGUAAUCUCGAGAGAGGAAAGCUGGCCGCAAGGUUGGCGCUAGAGGAGGAGCCUGCGUCCGAUUAGCUAGUUGGUAGGGUAAAAGCCUACCAAGGCGAUGAUCGGUAACUGGUCUGAGAGGACGACCAGUCACACUGGGACUGAGACACGGCCCAGACUCCUACGGGAGGCAGCAGUGGGGAAUAUUGGACAAUGGGGGCAACCCUGAUCCAGCGAUGCCGCGUGAGUGAAGAAGGCCUUCGGGUCGUAAAGCUCUUUAGGUUGGGAAGAAGAAUGUAGUAAUACAUUUUGACGGUACCAACAGAAUAAGCACCGGCAAACUCUGUGCCAGCAGCCGCGGUAAUACAGAGGGUGCGAGCGUUAAUCGGAUUUACUGGGCGUAAAGGGCGCGUAGGCGGUUUAGUGAGUGUGGUGUGAAAGCCCCGGGCUUAACCUGGGAAGUGCAUCGCAAACGACUAAACUGGAGUAUAAGAGAGGGUGGCGGAAUUCCCGGUGUAGCGGUGAAAUGCGUAGAGAUCGGGAGGAACGUCAUGGCGAAGGCAGCCACCCGGCUUAUUACUGACGCUGAGCGCGAAAAGGCGGGGACCAAACAUGAAUAGAUACCCUGGUAGGCCGCCUGGA
RNAcentral lists this ribosomal RNA (698 nucleotides) under uncultured bacterium. RNAcentral describes it as "bacterial SSU rRNA". It matches the Rfam family "Bacterial small subunit ribosomal RNA", at positions 94 to 803 of the family's 1533-position model. The record is from RNAcentral.